This is a long non-coding RNA of Oxyura jamaicensis (ruddy duck), 1413 nucleotides long. RefSeq lists it as uncharacterized. The transcript has 2 exons. The record is from RefSeq and is a predicted model, not a curated record. Lineage: Eukaryota; Metazoa; Chordata; Aves; Anseriformes; Anatidae.
CCCUGCUCCCUUCUGGUCUGCCUGGCAAAGCGUUCCGAGCCGCUCUUUGCCGAGGGAGCUCAGAUUAGUGGGUUUUGCUGAUGGAGUUUUGAUUGGCUGGGUUGUUUGAAGAAGGAGAUUCCUCAGAGGCCUUGUCUGCAUUAAGCAAUUAAAUUAUUGUUUUUAUCCGGCAGUAUAGCUCCCGUAUAAGUACCAGCCGUUCUGGUUUUACAGGUGAAGGUCAGUUAUACUUCUGCCCUACAUCUGUAACUGUGCCGUGUGAGAGCUUUGCAGCCCCAAGGACGCCAGAGAUCCAAUUUCUCAGGUCCCGAACUCUGGGAGAUGUUCAAAGGCUUCCUGAGAGCCCUGAGAGGACUGGGGAGGACGAGGGAGGGCACUUCUAGUAAUACCAGACUCCUAAAGAUAUCUUUUACUCCUUUUAAAAGGAAAGUGUAGGGAGUACAAAAACCAUGAUUCUUUAUAUCAAAUUAUCCCAGAUGUUUUUUCCCAUAUCCAGAUAGAUCGUGCCACCAAAUAACGUAGGUUGUUCUGGCGGUGCCUACAAAGAUCAAGAACCGGCGUGGAUCUGCAAUUCAAUAGUCCACAACGCAGGCAGAUAGCUGCGUGCUCCGCUGGUGGAUGGCAUUUGGAGAGCAAUCUCUUGAUUUGGAUGCCUGGCUGCGUCUGGAUAUUGGUAAAACUGGAUUGUUCAAGACACAGGGUGAGAAACGGGCUGCAUUACAUCACGAUCAGGAAGGACACUUCUAGCUAGUCAGCAUUUCUAAACUGUAGCUAGACUCCAGUCUGGAUACAAGCAAGUCCUUCGAACUGAGCAGAGCUGGAGCAGGCUAACAACGUUUGGAUGUCAUUUCCCAGAAAUCCCACAUCACUAUAAAGUAUUUCAGUAGUGGCAGGAGCACUGGAAAUGAUCAAAUAGCAGCAGCAACCACUCUGCUGAUAAACUGUGCCCUGAGCUGGACAGUGCUGAAACAAUAUUAAAAGAAACAAGGCCCACUUGUCCUGCAGAACAAGUCACUGCCAUCGACAGUCUAACUGCAGCAGCUUUAGUACAACAUAAAGGUUUAAGAAAAAAUGUAACAUAGACACAAAAUUAGCUGUCUGAGUGAACCAGCAGGACAGUAUGUAUAUGGAGAUUGUACUGUUUGCGCUAAAUCGUAAGCUCUAGUCUUCUUGGAAAAACUAGUGUGCAGAGAGCUAAAGCAUGAAAUUACAGUAUACCAGCUAUUUUACAGCGGAAAAUGUGUGCUGCUUCACUUUCAAUCCCUAUUCUUUUCAUAGGGUUACUGCAAUGGGAAGCAGAACAGCUGCUGUAAAAGCCUAGCAAGUGACAUGAUUCCUGUGAACAGUUGUAAAAAAAAUCUCAGAGCUAUUUAUGAAUGGAAAGCAUUAUGCAAAUAAAAUACAUUAUAAACA